CUGAUUUUUCCAGCGGCGUUUUCUAGACUUCAAGCCUAGUACUCAGAUCGAUAAAAAACUUGCUAGCAAGAUGUGCAAUAUAUUUUGCUAGCAGCAGAGUGUGAACAGAGGUGAAAACCGCAUUCCGUACGGUUACACUUCUCAGGCAGCUGUGUUAUUUUGUUUACCUUUUCUAAAAUGUGUGGAAAUUUAAUAAAAUGUUAAUAAAACAAUGAAUGCAAAAUGGAUCCAUUCAGAAGAUUAUUUUAGUGAGACUGGCGGCUCCUGCAUGAUCGGAGAAGGAGGACAAUCAACGAAAUAAGCGACGAGAACUUUGAUUAAACCCAUAUCUGCAGGAAAGAAACCAAGACUGUCGUUUUCUAUACAUUUGAGUUUUAUAAAUCAUACAUGUUUUCAUUUAUGGACACCCAUGACACGAUACCCUUGCAUAUUGCCCAGUUUGAAAAUAUGACAGACAAUUUUUUUGAUUGGUGGAGCAGCAAGGCCUUGCCGAGGAAUAUUUGCGCCCGUUGCAAAGUUGUAAAACGGAGCCUCCAAGCACCCUUCCUAUUCUUCAUUGGAUAGUUUCGAGCCCAGAUUGUCGCCAUCGCCCCUUGGCGAUGUGGAGAAGUACUUGGUCCCAAAAGGAAAACAACUUAAAACAUUUUGCUAACAGCCCAGUCGGGUCUGUGUCUUGGCAACAUGAAGAUAUUGGCGGUCAAAUAAGUUAAGC
Molecule: long non-coding RNA, 712 nt
Filed under: Drosophila guanche
Lineage: Eukaryota; Metazoa; Arthropoda; Insecta; Diptera; Drosophilidae
Source: RNAcentral